This 253-nucleotide ribosomal RNA is filed under the name uncultured bacterium. Its description in RNAcentral is "partial 16S ribosomal RNA". It matches the Rfam family "Bacterial small subunit ribosomal RNA", at positions 524 to 776 of the family's 1533-position model. The record is from RNAcentral.
AACGUAGGUUCCGAGCGUUAUCCGGAUUUACUGGGCGUAAAGCGCGUUCAGGCGGUUUGGCAAGUCGGGCAUGAAAUCUCUCGGCUCAACCGGGAGAGGUUGUCCGAUACUGCUGGACUUGAGGGCAGUAGAGGGUGGUGGAAUUCCGGGUGUAGUGGUGAAAUGCGUAGAUAUCAGAAGGAACACCCAUGGCGAAGGCCGCUCGCUGGCCUACAACUGACGCUGAGGCGCGAAAGCGUGGGGAGCAAACAGG